Oryza nivara is the source of this 211-nucleotide non-coding RNA. Lineage: Eukaryota; Viridiplantae; Streptophyta; Magnoliopsida; Poales; Poaceae. The record is from Rfam.
GCUAAGUGCAGUUUUAGCACUAUUCAUGUUCAACGUUUGACCAUUUGUCUUAUUUAAAAAAAGAUUAUGAUUAAUAUUGUUAUUGUUAUUAGAUGAUAAAAUAUGAAUAGUACUUGAUGUGUGACUAAUUUUUUUAAUAUUUUUUAUAUUUUUUUUCAAAUAAGACAGAUGGUCAAAGUGCUAAACACGAAUAUCUAUGGCUGCACUUAUU